This 259-nucleotide ribosomal RNA is filed under the name uncultured bacterium. RNAcentral describes it as "partial 16S ribosomal RNA". It matches the Rfam family "Bacterial small subunit ribosomal RNA", at positions 793 to 1055 of the family's 1533-position model. The record is from RNAcentral.
GUCCUAGCCGUAACGAUGGACACUAGGUGUUGGUGGUAUCAACCCACCAGUGCCGAAGCUAACGCAUUAAGUGUCCCGCCUGGGAGUACGGCCGCAAGGCUAAACUCAAAGGAAUUGACGGGCCCGCACAAGCAGCGGAGCGUGGGUUUAAUUCGAUGCAACGCGAAGAACCUUACCAGGGCUUGACAUGACCAGGAAUCCGGCGGAAACGUCGGCGUCCCGCAAGGGGACCUGGCCACAGGUGUUGCAUGGCUGUCGU